CUACAACUUGAGUAAAUCCACCAAAUCCCAAGUAUGAUUUUCAUCGAGAGCAUUUAUCUUCUGAAGCAUUACAUUAUACUAAAUAGAGUGAUUUAAAGUCUUCUUAACUGUUUUGGGUAUGGAAAUUGAAUCUAUAGAAGUCAUUAAAGAGGCAAACGAUGGAAAUAGAUGAUCAUAUAAAAUAAGAUUAGCAAUGGGAUAAAAAAAUUUAGGAAGAGUGUACUGACGUUUACUUCUGCGAAGACUAAUGGUUAGAUCAAGGUCAUGGG
This 269-nucleotide long non-coding RNA is filed under the name Carica papaya (papaya). RNAcentral's name for it is "long non-coding RNA (CPAP_LNC001009)". The record is from RNAcentral. Lineage: Eukaryota; Viridiplantae; Streptophyta; Magnoliopsida; Brassicales; Caricaceae.